RNAcentral lists this small nucleolar RNA (144 nucleotides) under Drosophila virilis. RNAcentral describes it as "snoRNA:GJ25535". The record is from RNAcentral. Lineage: Eukaryota; Metazoa; Arthropoda; Insecta; Diptera; Drosophilidae.
CACAGUACUGACAAAUUGACAGGCUUGACCAACGCUUGUACGGUUUCCCUUUGAACGCUGUGAGAUAAAUAAAAGCGUCGGCUAAGCUAUGUUAUGCGAAUGUAUCUAAAAUCCAAAUUCAGCGUAACACGCAGCCUCGUUACA